CCCCUGCAACUUCAUAAACAACAAAUAUCACUGACACCGUUAACGGAAAAUCAAUUUACUUUUAUACCCUUCAAGCACACAUCAGUCCGUCUAAUCCAGGAUUCUAAAUGCAAUCCAUCUGAAUCUCAAAAUACUAUAAAAAAAAACAGUUGUUUUUGUGUUGCGGUAAUAGAUACAAACCCUAAACUCUUAACACCAUCACCUUCUUAGCACAGCCACCUUUACAAAUCACCAUAGCCACAGCACCAUCUUCACCGCCGUAAACACAUAUGCCUUUAUCGCCACCACCAUAUCAGCCAAUGGGGGCAACUCAAUCUUCCUUCCCAAAGCCAUUGUCUUCCCCCAUCCCGAAUUAUCCGAAAGCCCACCUCUCACAACCCUAUUAAAUGCAAAAUUAGGGUUGGAAUCAACAUGAUUAUUCUACUGAGUUUACCAAAAGU
RNAcentral lists this long non-coding RNA (440 nucleotides) under Actinidia chinensis (golden kiwifruit). Its description in RNAcentral is "long non-coding RNA (ACHI_LNC001105)". Lineage: Eukaryota; Viridiplantae; Streptophyta; Magnoliopsida; Ericales; Actinidiaceae. The record is from RNAcentral.